CAACCUGCCGAUGACUCGGGGAUAGCCUUUCGAAAGAAAGAUUAAUACCCGAUGGCAUAGUUCUUCCGCAUGGUGGAACUAUUAAAGAAUUUCGGUCAUCGAUGGGGAUGCGUUCCAUUAGGUUGUUGGCGGGGUAACGGCCCACCAAGCCUUCGAUGGAUAGGGGUUCUGAGAGGAAGGCCCCCCACAUUGGAACUGAGACACGGUCCAAACUCCUACGGGAGGCAGCAGUGAGGAAUAUUGGUCAAUGGACGAGAGUCUGAACCAGCCAAGUAGCGUGAAGGAUGACUGCCCUAUGGGUUGUAAACUUCUUUUAUACGGGAAUAAAGUGAGGCACGUGUGCCUUUUUGUAUGUACCGUAUGAAUAAGGAUCGGCUAACUCCGUGCCAGCAGCCGCGGUAAUACGGAGGAUCCGAGCGUUAUCCGGAUUUAUUGGGUUUAAAGGGAGCGUAGGCGGACGCUUAAGUCAGUUGUGAAAGUUUGCGGCCCAACCGUAAAAUUGCAGUUGAUACUGGGUGUCUUGAGUACAGUAGAGGCAGGCGGAAUUCGUGGUGUAGCGGUGAAAUGCUUAGAUAUCACGAAGAACUCCGAUUG
RNAcentral lists this ribosomal RNA (594 nucleotides) under uncultured Bacteroidota bacterium. RNAcentral's name for it is "bacterial SSU rRNA". It matches the Rfam family "Bacterial small subunit ribosomal RNA", at positions 122 to 715 of the family's 1533-position model. Lineage: Bacteria; Pseudomonadati; Bacteroidota. The record is from RNAcentral.